CCGCAUGUAGGAGGAAGGGACAACAUUGUCCGUCAUGCUUCUUGGCUCAAUUUUUUAUACUGAUCUAUAGCAAAGUGUGGUUAUAGCAAGAUUGUUAAUCGGCUAAUUGUAGCUGCACAUGGAGAGUGGCCUGAAAGAGAAUGGCCAACAUGUAGCUCAAAUAGAAGUUUUUCCGACUUUAAUGAUUUUCAUUUUGUUACAUAAUUAAAAUUAAUAAAUCAAUAACA
RNAcentral lists this long non-coding RNA (227 nucleotides) under Trifolium pratense (red clover). RNAcentral's name for it is "long non-coding RNA (TPRA_LNC013491)". The record is from RNAcentral. Lineage: Eukaryota; Viridiplantae; Streptophyta; Magnoliopsida; Fabales; Fabaceae.